This 294-nucleotide long non-coding RNA is filed under the name Brassica napus (rape). Its description in RNAcentral is "long non-coding RNA (BNAP_LNC025433)". Lineage: Eukaryota; Viridiplantae; Streptophyta; Magnoliopsida; Brassicales; Brassicaceae. The record is from RNAcentral.
GAUUUAGAGUCAAUGGGUGGGGUUUAGGAUUUAGGAUUUAGGGUUUAGAGUGUAGAGUUUAGAGCUUAGGGUUUAGAGUUUAGGGGUGGGGUUUAGGGUUUAGGGUUUAGAGUUAAGGGGUGAGGUUUAGGAUUUAGGGUUUAGAGUUAAGGGGUGGGGUUUAGAAUUUAGGGUUUAGGGUUUAGAGUUUAGGGUUUAGAGUUUAGGUUUUAGGGUUUGGAGUUGGAGAGUUGGGUUUUGGGAUAAGAUUUCAAAUUUUGAAAAAUAAAAAAAUUUUAAAUUUUUCAAAAGAUA